GAUCUGAAAAUGAAAAAUCAAGAUUUUUGUAGUAGACCUCCCCUAUAUCUGGCCUGUGAGGUUGUAUACUGUGACACAGCUGUUACUGCAAUCUAAUUGUGACGUCAAUGCAGUGACCAAGCACGGCAACACAUUUUUGCAUGUAACAUGUUAAUGCAUUGGCACCGUGAAUAUGUCAAAGUUUAAACCUGGUGUGAUGAAUAACCGGAGAAUGACAUCUCUGCAUUCAGCCUGUCAAGGUGGACACAGCAAGAUAGUAGGAGUGUUACAGCUGUCUAAACCUGACGUCAAUGUGAUGAAUAAUCAUGGAAAUGGAUCUCUGCAUUUGGUUUGUUGUGGUAGAGAUGUUCUUGAAGCCUGGCCUUGAUACCCAUUUUGCAGAUUCAAAUGGUAACAUGCCUCCACAUCUUGCUGUUCAAUGAUGGUGGCUCCCAAGGUAAUUAUUUACCCCAGGACUCAAUGUAUGUACCCUUACAAGAACAGAUCACC
RNAcentral lists this long non-coding RNA (489 nucleotides) under Octopus sinensis (East Asian common octopus). RNAcentral describes it as "uncharacterized LOC118766710, transcript variant X2". Lineage: Eukaryota; Metazoa; Mollusca; Cephalopoda; Octopoda; Octopodidae. The record is from RNAcentral.